CCUACGGGUGGCAGCAGUGAGGAAUAUUGGUCAAUGGGCGGAAGCCUGAACCAGCCAAGUCGCGUGAGGGAAUAAGGCCCUACGGGUCGUAAACCUCUUUUGCCGGGGAGCAAGGGCGGGGACGUGUCCCGUCCCGGAUAGUACCCGGAGAAAAAGCAUCGGCUAACUCCGUGCCAGCAGCCGCGGUAAUACGGAGGAUGCGAGCGUUCUCCGGAUUUAUUGGGUUUAAAGGGUGCGUAGGCGGGCUUUUAAGUAAGCGGGAAAAAUUCGGGGCUCAACCCCGUCCGGCCGUUGAAACUGGGGGCCUUGAGUGGGCGAGAAGAAGGCGGAAUGCGUGGUGUAGCGGUGAAAUGCAUAGAUAUCACGCAGAACCCCGAUUGCGAAGGCAGCCUUCCGGAGCCCUACUGACGCUGAGGCACGAAAGUGCGGGGAUCGAACAGGAUUAGAUACCCUUGUAGUC
This 460-nucleotide ribosomal RNA is filed under the name uncultured bacterium. RNAcentral's name for it is "partial 16S ribosomal RNA". It matches the Rfam family "Bacterial small subunit ribosomal RNA", at positions 338 to 795 of the family's 1533-position model. The record is from RNAcentral.